GGUUGUGGCUCAGUGGUAGAGUGCUCACCUCACACGUGCAAGGCCCUAGGUUCGAUCCUUAACACCA
RNAcentral lists this transfer RNA (67 nucleotides) under Marmota monax (woodchuck). RNAcentral's name for it is "tRNA.Val". Lineage: Eukaryota; Metazoa; Chordata; Mammalia; Rodentia; Sciuridae. The record is from RNAcentral.